Marmota monax (woodchuck) is the source of this 1506-nucleotide long non-coding RNA. RefSeq lists it as uncharacterized. Lineage: Eukaryota; Metazoa; Chordata; Mammalia; Rodentia; Sciuridae. The transcript is spliced from 4 exons. The record is from RefSeq and is a predicted model, not a curated record.
UUUCCACUACCUUAAUUCUCAACCUUCUCAUUUCUUGCUUGCAAAAAGUUUCUGGUUGAUUUCCAAAUUGUGCGUCUGGAAAUUUUCUGUGGGGGUCCUCUGGAAUAUCAAGGUGAUGAUAGAUAACAAGAGUUUAAAAAGUAGAGUCAGGCAAUCAGGGUAGAGGUAAUAGUUUGAGAUUUUAUUUUAGGUGAAGCAGUACUUGUGAAAAACAAUUAUUUUUUCAGACUGGGAGCCAACUCUGGUUUUCAUACAUGCUAGGUAAAUGGUCUGUGUAAGUUAAUUAUUGACUACAGGAUUUGUGCUAAGAUAGAAAUGAAAACAAUAGGCACAAAGGGCUAUGGGAAAAUGUGGCAGGGAAGAGUUCAUUCCACUUGGGAGAGUCGCACAAUGUUCCACUUAGAAGGUGACAUUUCAUCUGGGUCUUUGAAGGAAACACCAUUAACUCCAUUCUGAUGAAGCGGAUUGAUGCAGCUGGGCUGAAAGCUGAGUUAUCGGCAGACACAACAUCCUUGUUUUUGUAUGUGGUGCUGAGGAUCGAACCCGGGCCGCACGCAUGCCAGGCGAGCGCGCUACCGCUUGAGCCACAUCCCCGGCCGACUGGUUUUAAUUCCUCCCAAACCUGAGAUGACUGUGUCCUGAAAUGUGACCAUGUGGGAGAGCUGUGAAGUGUGUUUAUGUCACCCAGUGUUCUAGGACUAGCAGCUACUCGGAAGUGGCUUCAAGGGAAUAAGGAAGAAUGAACUGCCACAGCCCCCUGAAGAGACAAAAGUCUGGAGCACGUAUGUCUGAGAAAACCCACCACCAACAAAAGGAAUGAAGAGGAGAUAAGCAGAAGAGCAUUCCAGACCAGAAAGGCUGGGUCAAAAGGCAGACAGCCAGGAAAGGAGGGAGGAAGAAAAAGGAAUAUAUAUACCAGCAAAGCUGGACUCUGCUGUAGCCAAGAAGAAGCAAAGAAUCAAAAAUCUUGGGCCAAGAAAAACAGAAGAAAGUGUAAUCCCAAUGACUCAGGAGGCUGAGGUGGGAGGUUGGCAAGUUUGAGGUUAACCUAGUCAACCUAGUGAGAUUCUGGGCGUGUAGCUCGGUGGUAGAGCACCCUUGGGCUCUGUGUUGGUGGGCUGUGUUGUCUCUUGGGCUGCUGUGCUUACAAAUGAAGCCCAUCAGUGGCUCCCAGCAGUCCCAGGACACACCUAAGGACUUUCCAGCUCCUCCACCAGCCUCUUUAAAAUCCAGUCAUCCCCCCUGUGACUCAGCACAAACUACUGGGUGUCCCAAGCACAUACUACUGCCCUACGUUUGGAUGAAAAAAAAUUUACAUAAGGGCUUAAAGAAGCCAGUCUGUGGCUAACCUUUCCAUUGAAAAUAAAAUAUCUGAUCCACAAUAUUGACUUUUAACUCACUGCCAUCUAACAGACUAAACAUGGGAAAGUUAGGAAAGUUCUAUUUUCUUUUGUAAAUUACUCAAAAUACCUAAGUAUUAAAAUGUCCCCGCAAAAGUGUUGCAAA